GAGCCAUUAGCUCAGCUGGUAGAGCACCUGACUUUUAAUCAGGGUGUCGCUGGUUCGAAUCCAGCAUGGCUCA
This 73-nucleotide transfer RNA is filed under the name Acidibacillus sp. Its description in RNAcentral is "tRNA-Lys". It matches the Rfam family "tRNA". Rfam says of the family: Transfer RNA (tRNA) molecules are approximately 80 nucleotides in length. Their secondary structure includes four short double-helical elements and three loops (D, anti-codon, and T loops). The record is from RNAcentral. Lineage: Bacteria; Bacillati; Bacillota; Bacilli; Caryophanales; Alicyclobacillaceae.